This 572-nucleotide long non-coding RNA is filed under the name Cyanistes caeruleus (blue tit). Its description in RNAcentral is "lncRNA (ENSCCEG00000010908.1)". Lineage: Eukaryota; Metazoa; Chordata; Aves; Passeriformes; Paridae. The record is from RNAcentral.
AUGUGGGGAGCAUCAAUCCAACAGGAAUGCGGGACUACCAGGAAACUCCAGAACCUCGCAGAGAUUUCGCCUCGGUUUUCAAAGCUGUACCCACGCCACGUUCCAAAACAGCUUCUCUCCGAGGUGACACGCGGAUGUAGCAAAUGGAGAAGAUCAAGGUCAAGAACUUCAAAUGUGCAAGAGGAUUCUCUGGGUGCUGCUGUCCCACAUCAUUACAAGCUGGAAUACCUAUGGAUGAAUGUCUGCAGCAGCAGAGGGUUCUUCGGUAGUCAAAAUGGGUUGAGGCACAGAUCUAGAACAAGUCCCAAGAAGAGUGUAAAUGACAUUGCUCAGGCUGAGCAGAGAAGACUCCUGAGACCUGCUCUGAAUUUUCUGGCUGACUUCUGGAGUGACUUUGGAGGAAGCUGCACAGGUCACCCUCCUCAAACACCUGUUAAGUUAACCAAAGUGUGGCAGAAGAUUACUGUGAAAACUUUGAAGAAUACUGGGGAUUUCACUAAAGGAGACUGAAAGAGUUUUUUAGAAUCAUUGUUGUAUUAACACACAACAAUAAAAAUUUAAAACUCUGAGCA